GACGAACGCUGGCGGCGUGCCUAAUACAUGCAAGUCGAACGCUUCUUUCCUCCCGAGUGCUUGCACUCAAUUGGAAAGCGGAGUGGCGGACGGGUGAGUAACACGUGGGUAACCUACCCAUCAGAGGGGGAUAACACUUGGAAACAGGUGCUAAUACCGCAUAACAGUUUAUGCCGCAUGGCAUAAGAGUGAAAGGCGCUUUCGGGUGUCGCUGAUGGCUGGACCCGCGGUGCAUUAGCUAGUUGGUGAGGUAACGGCUCACCGAGGCCACGAUGCAUAGCCGACCUGAGAGGGUGAUCGGCCACACUGGGACUGAGACACGGCCAAGACUCCUACGGGAGGCAGCAGUAGGGAAUCUUCGGCAAUGGACGAAAGUCUGACCGAGCAACGCCGCGUGAGUGAAGAAGGUGUUCGGAUCGUAAAACUCUGUUGUUAGAGAAGAACAAGGACGUUAGUAACUGAACGUCCCCUGACGGUAUCUAACCAGAAAGCCACGGCUAACUACGUG
This 508-nucleotide ribosomal RNA is filed under the name uncultured bacterium. Its description in RNAcentral is "partial 16S ribosomal RNA". It matches the Rfam family "Bacterial small subunit ribosomal RNA", at positions 28 to 507 of the family's 1533-position model. The record is from RNAcentral.